GAACUUAAGCAUAUCAAUAAGCGGAGGAAAAGAAACUAACAAGGAUUCCCCUAGUAACUGCGAGUGAAGCGGGAAGAGCUCAAAUUUAAAAUCUGGCAGCUGAUGGGCUUGUCCGAGUUGUAAUCUAGAGAAGUGUCUUCCGCGCUGGGACCGUGUACAAGUCUCUUGGAAUGGAGCAUCAUAGAGGGUGAGAAUCCCGUCUCUGACACGGAAUUUACCGGUGCUUUUGUGAUGCGCUCUCGAAGAGUCGAGUUGUUUGGGAAUGCAGCUCAAAAUGGGUGGUAAAUUCCAUCUAAAGCUAAAUACAGGCGAGAGACCGAUAGCGAACAAGUACCGUGAGGGAAAGAUGAAAAGGACUUUGAAAAGAGAGUUAAACAUUACGUGAAAUUGUUGAAAGGGAAACGACUCAAGUCAGUCGCAUUAGCCAGUAAUCAACCCUCGCAAUUAACCUUGCUGGGCUUACUUUCUGGUUGAUGGGUCAGCAUCAAUUUUGACCGUCAGAGAAAGGCUUUGCGGGGAAUGUGACAUCUUCGGAUGUGUUAUAGCCCCAACUCGCAUGUGAUGGUCGGGAUUGAGGAACUCAGCACGCCUUUACAGGUCAGGGCCGCCAGAAUGGCCCAUGUAAACGUAGCUUAGGAUGCUGGCAUAAUGGCUUGAACCGACCCGUCUUGAAACACGGACCAAGGAGUCUAACAUGCCUGCGAGUGUUUGGGUGGAAAACCCGAGCGCGAAGUGAAAGUGAACUUGGUUGAGAUCCCUGUCGUGGGGAGCAUCGACGCCCGGACCAGACCUUCUGUGACGGAUCUGCGGUAGAGCAUGCAUGUUGGGACCCGAAA
This 836-nucleotide ribosomal RNA is filed under the name uncultured fungus. RNAcentral's name for it is "eukaryotic LSU rRNA". It matches the Rfam family "Eukaryotic large subunit ribosomal RNA", at positions 30 to 821 of the family's 3401-position model. The record is from RNAcentral. Lineage: Eukaryota; Fungi.